CAGGGAAUAGUUUAAAUAGAACUUCGGCUUUGGGGGUCGAUAGUGGAGCAAAAGCUUCUUCCUUGA
Molecule: transfer RNA, 66 nt
Filed under: Glis glis (Fat dormouse)
Lineage: Eukaryota; Metazoa; Chordata; Mammalia; Rodentia; Gliridae
Description: tRNA-Pro
Source: RNAcentral